This 215-nucleotide ribosomal RNA is filed under the name uncultured bacterium. RNAcentral describes it as "partial 16S ribosomal RNA". It matches the Rfam family "Bacterial small subunit ribosomal RNA", at positions 1286 to 1500 of the family's 1533-position model. The record is from RNAcentral.
UCUCAGUUCGGAUUGUAGUCUGCAACUCGACUACAUGAAGCUGGAAUCGCUAGUAAUCGCGGAUCAGAAUGCCGCGGUGAAUACGUUCCCGGGUCUUGUACACACCGCCCGUCACACCAUGGGAGUCGGGAAUGCCCGAAGCCAGUGACCCAAGCGAGAGCAGGGAGCUGUCGAAGGCAGGCCGGAUAACUGGGGUGAAGUCGUAACAAGGUACC